Molecule: long non-coding RNA, 5901 nt
Filed under: Brassica napus (rape)
Lineage: Eukaryota; Viridiplantae; Streptophyta; Magnoliopsida; Brassicales; Brassicaceae
Description: long non-coding RNA (BNAP_LNC010723)
Source: RNAcentral
ACGAUCGCAUGCACGUGUCCGUUUCUUGAAGUGUAGAGGUUGCAGAGCGAAGUGAGUUGAUUAAAGAUCGAUUCUCUUCGGUAAGAUUGACGAAUCUUCUUGGUGGGAUGAAUCUUGGAGGAGGGGGAGGAACCACCGGAGACUCUUGUUCGACGGAUGCUCUUGCGUCGGCUGAACGGGGCGGUGUCGUCAUCGGAAAGGGAUCGGCGCCGUUCGCCAGUAUAUAUAUAGGUUAACUCUGCGGAGUUAGUAAGGGUUUUUGUUGUGUGAUUGUAGAGAAUGAGAAAGUGUUGAGAUCCGUGGAGUGUUGAUGCUUUUUAAAGGGAAAGUAAAUAUAUAUAUAUAUGCAUGGCGAGGUCGUUGGUGUAUAUUUUUUGGCAAUGGUGAGGUAAGAUUUUUUGAGCUUCGUUUGGCAAUGGUGAGGGUAAUUUUCAUUUAUGUGCCAAGACUUUUUGAGCUUCGUCUGUUUUAUGUAAAGUUGGCUUUGUUCGUAAUGCCCUGUCGUUUUGCAUCACUUGCAUAUCACUCGCAUGGUUUUAUUUGUGAUGAUAUGUUUGGUUUUAUUAUAUUACUCAUGGAUUUUUCUUCUUUAUGGUGAUUUUGUGGUGUUAUUAUCAUGUUGAUUAUUAUGGGAAUUUGCAAAGAUUAAAUCCCAACUGUUUUUAUUCUAUUUUCGUGUUUGUGAAUUUUAUCUUUGUCUUCAACAUAAUUUAAAACAUUGAUACAAUAUUGAUUUCAAAUAAACUCAUACUUUAUAAUUAUUAUAAUUUAGCAGAUUGAUACAUACUUUAUUAUUCUUAUUUAUAUCAUAACUCCAAAAUUAAAAAGUAAAUGACAUAAUGUACAAGGCACGGAAAAAAUCCAGCUUCAUAAAUACUAGUCUUAUUAGAAAAAAAGGAAAUAUACUAUUUAGUCCAAGUAAAGAAUUCUUUAGCCGGGUUAUUAUUUCUCACUAAGGAAACACUUUAAGUUCAACAAUAUAUUCGCAAAUCUGACCACAUCGAGCUCGGGCGGCUCCUCUAUACGCUCUCCAUAUUGUAAGAAAAGUCUUAGGGUCCGACUGGUGACCAUCCGGAAAACAAGAGGAACGAAUAAAAAAGGAAUGUACGGAAAUAAAAUACCAGGAAUGAAAAGGAAUGGUUAUUCCUUAUCAAAUUUGACAAGGAAUAAUUUUGUUCUUUAAUUCUCUACAAAAAAGGGAAUGAAAGGGAAUGAGAAGAAAUUAUUAUUCCUUGUGAAUGGUAAUUUUUUUUAGGAACGUUAGGGAAUACAUUAUUCCUCGUCGUUCCCUGGUCACCAUUCAUACCCUUACUCUUUGCAUCAUUUAAUUCACAUGUCCAUACUAUUCUAUUUGAUCCUUUCUCCUUAACCGGAAAGCUGUAUAUGCUAUUGGGUGAUACAUAAUUGGCACCUUGGCUUAUGCGUCUGUUGGACCUGCACUUGACAAUGAGUGUAUGACCAGCUCCAAGGCGGUUUCUGAAUUGUAAAGUGUUUGGAGCGCAUCCAUAACUUUCUUUAAAACCAAAACACAUAGCAAGAACUAACAUAAAAAUAAUGAGAUGAUUCGUUUUUAGAUCUAAAGACUCAAUGACCCAAUAGUAUUAUAAUAUUUUUUGUGUGAUAAAUAAGGCAAUAGGCCAAAUACAGACACACGAAUAUUGACCAACUAAACUUAUGGCCAGAUGAGCAUCCGGAGUCGAAAAGUAAGGUAAUUCCAUAAGAUCAGAUCAAAUAAAUUAAACUUGCAAAUUAAUAUUGACCACUAUAAACUAAAGAAACCAAAUCUAAGAUUGUCAAAAAUUUAUGCAAGGGUAAUACCAACAGGGUCUAUUCGCAUCACUUACUCUCUUCUUGGUAACAUGAUCUAUUUCAUAUGUUGGUGUGUUGAUAUGCUCAAAUUAACCUCAAGGAACUCUCUCAAAUAAUAGUGUCAUCAUAAUACUUGAGGAUUGAAUCUACAUGGACUGAGGAUCACACUAUAGACUAUCAGGGUUUAGUUAAGCUAAGUCAGAGUUAUCAAAACAGUAAAAAAACAAUAGGAUAAUUUGUUUUGUGAGAUAUAGGGAGAAAGCCAUGGGCCAAGGUUUAUUAUACUCAAUUCCAGAACUCGAAUGUAGACAGUAAGUCGUCCAACUUUCGUUGCGAUAAACUAUAAGAUGCUUAACUCAAAUCUAAAACCAACUCUCGUUGCGAAUAAGAUGAUUGAAGCAAGCAUUAAAUCCAAUUUGAUACUGUUCAACAAAAAUCCUAUACCAACUCUCAUUGCGAAUGAAUUUCUAGUCCAACAAGAUUCGAGUUCAGUUAAUCGAUUAUACUCUCGUGUUUCCCAAUUGUCCUAUGACCCUAGAUUCUAGACUUCUAGUUAAUUACCCUAAAUCCUAUAUUACAUGCCAUCAUGAUGUAGAAAUCUAUGAAUAACCCUAGCAUCAAUGAUUAUCAAUUUGACGUUAAGCUUAUGAAAUUUCUAAUUAAUCUAACAAGUGGUUUACUGAUCAUAUAUAAUCACAUAAACAUAAAUCAUAGACAGAAUAACUGUAUAAAAUAGCUAGAGAAAGAAAUACUCCAGCUCUAAUAGAUCUCUCUGAAGGUGUUUACUGAUCUUCUCUCCAAAUUUCUCUAAUGAAAAUAAAAUGCAGCCUAAACAGUGGGUUAAAAACAUAAUAUACGUCUAAAAUUUGCAAGAGUUUCUUUACAAAUACUGAAAACUAUGAGCCAACUUGUAAUUCUUAAAACUUGUAUCGGCUGGCUCCAAAAGUAAGGGUAUCAAGGACACACAUGAGAGUAUCGAUCAACACCCAAUCAAAAUCACGACUUCGACUUCAAUGAGUGACAAAUCUCAUUACAAAAGUUUAGUUAAGAAACCAUAAAACCUAAGAACUUUCAGCAUAUGUCCACUACAAGAAAACAUGAAAUUACCGACUACAUGUUGCGACUGAUUGUGCAGUCGCCAAAUAUUGCGACUGUUUUACGAUCUUUUCGCGACAGUUUUGUUAUUAAUGCGUGUCAGUCGCAAAUCAGUUGCUAAUAUGCGACUAAGUAAAUCAGUCGCAGAACAGUCGCUAAUUAAUGACUAAUUAGCGACUAUUUACUGUGGUCGGAAUCUAUAGUCGCAAAAUAGUCAUUAAAAUAGCGACUGUUCUGCGACUACUUACUCUAUACCCUAAAUUUAAGAAUAUGUUUGAGGUAUAGCGACUGUUUUGCGACUACAGUUACCGAAAAUAGUAAAUAGUCGCAGUUUAGUCGCUAAUUACCUAAACUCUGUUUUUAGCAUCUAUACCCUAAAUCCCAAAUUUAAAUCUACAUAUAAAACUAUGAUCUUAAUAUUUUUAAUCUUAUUAUCUAAACUAAACUUAAACUUAAAAUAUUUUUUCAAAAUGAUAUAAUCAUAAAAUAAUCAUGAAUAUAAACUUCAUAUAUACUAUAUACCUUAUGUCAUAAACACUAAACUAAAAAUUAAUCUCCAAAUAUUAUAAAUAAAUAUUUAAUCUUUAAAAUUAAAUUUUCAAUAAUUAACCUCAAAUAUUAAAUCUAUAACUAGUAUACACAAAACCCUUAACCUAAACGUAAACCCUAUAUUCCAAAUUUAAAACUAAACUCCUCUAACAUUUUCAAAGCUAAACACCAAAUAUUAAACAUACAUUUUACAGAUUUGUCUUAUAAAUUUUUUUGUCUCAAAACUUAAACUCCAAAUCUUCAAUAUAAAACUAUAAACUUAAUCUUUCAAAAUUUUAUCUCAAAUCAUAUACUUGUUUUCAAAAUUUAAUCUAAGUCCUAUACCAUAACCUUAUAUCCUUUAAUUAACUAUAAACACUAAACUUUAUAUUUUUAAAGUCUAAACCUUAAAUCAUAAAAAUAAAUUGUUUGCUUUAACCUUUCUAAAACUUCGCUGUAACAUUUCCUACAUACAUUUUCUUUAAAAGAAAUUGUCCUCCAUAUAAUAUUAAACUAAAACAAAAUAAACUUUAGUUAAUAAUCCCUCUCCUCUUUUCUUAUUGGUUGAACAAAGCAUCACACGGAUCACCUUUAUAACCAUCCGAUGCGUGUUUCUUCAUCCCUUCCCUCACACGUGUCUUCAUCUCAUCUCCUCGUCUUUAUCUCUUUUUUCUUCUUUCUUUGUCUCACGAGAAUUCACAAUCUCUUUCACUCUCAUCUCUCUCAUCAUCUCUGAUAUCUUCCUCUGUAUCUAACUCAUCAUUCUUCUUCGCUGACAAACCGACGACCUUACGGAGAAGCUCAUGAAGCCCACGACAGCGACGACGACAGCCUACUCUCCGCCUCAUCUCCUCCAAUGCCUCUCUCCUCGUGACGUCUCUAUUCCUCUUCUCUUCUCCAUGACACGUCCUCUCCUCCUCUGCUCGAUCAUGCCCCCUCUCCUCGUCUGCUCCGUAAUGGCUCCUCACGUCCGCGAAUUUCCUUGCUCGCGUGGCGGCUGAAGAAACAAACGAAGUUUAUGUUAGGUUUAGAUUUAGGUUUAGUGUUAGCUCCCGUAUGCUAAUAACAGCGGCUUAGAUUUAAGUUUUGAUUCAUUUUCUUGACCAAAUAGUUUUGGUCUUUGAUUUAGUUUUUCUUUUUGUAUUUAUGUAAUUAUGUAUCUGUCUCAGUUUUAAUUUAAACCAGUUUAAUAUAUAUAAAUCAUUUUAAAUUUUAAUAAAUUUAUUAAUUUUAAUUUUAAUUUUUUUUUUUGUUUUUAAUUUUUCGUUUUGCGACUAAUUAGCAACGGUGAUUCUAAAACUGUAGUAGUAAAUUAGUCACUAAAUAUUGCGACCAAAUUGUUUACAAAAAAAAAUAUUGCGACCAAAUAACGACUACAAUCCGUUCUCGCAAAGAAGUCGUAAUUCAGUCGUAAAAUUUUGCGUCUGAACUGCGACGGAUUUAUGACCAAUAACAUUAAUCGCAAAUUAGUCUCAAAUCAGUCGUAAAAUUGCGACUGAUUUAUGACUGAUAGUUUUUGCGACACGUUGAUUUGUGACUACAUGUAUCAGUCGCAAAUCAGUCGUAACCGUACAUUUUGCGACUGAUUAGCUACUGAUUUUGCAGUCGGAAAAUGCAUGUUUUCUUGUAGUGGUCGUAGAACCUAGCAUUAACUACUUUGAGACAAAGCUAAUGAAUCCAGUUCAAGAAUGCUGCAAUGGUAUAAGACGACUCACCGAAGAGAUAUAUAUGAAGAAAAGGCCUGAGCUUAUUCACCAAACCCCAAAACAGAUCAUCCCUAGUCAUAAUCACCGCCUGCGUAACUCUCGGUGCCUUGUACACCACGAAAUUCCCAUACGUACCCCUGGCCAGUCUCACUAACCUAAUUCGCACUCCAAAAUCUCUUCCUCCACCACAACUAUCGACUCCUUCAUAUAUAUCCAAAAGCUUCUCCACGAUGUAGCUUCCGUGUUGGUCACACGCCUGGUUGAAAACGCGCAGCCCCUUGACUAACAACGCAUGACGCCUCCUUGUCGGUCAUGAUGUCGAGGAAGCCGCGGAAGAAGCGGCGAAGAAGAAUGUGUCCACGUCAUCUGAUAUCCCGAGAAGCUUCCUUAGGCGGUGGGAGCCGUUCUUGUUUCUUGCGAUGUUCAAGAAGAAACCGGAGUUAACGUCAGAAACCAGGCCAUCUUCCGAAGAUCGGCUGCUUCGAACUCUGAGAUCACCUCUCUAAACUGACCCGCACCGUCUAGUCAUUAAGUUGCGCAACGAUCGCAUACACGUGUCCGUUUCUUGAGGUAUAGAGGUGGCAGAGCGAAAUGAGUUGAUUAAAAAUCGAUUCUCUUCAGUAAGACUGACGACUCUUCUAGGUGGGAUGAAUCUUGGAGGAGGAGGAACCACCGGAGAUUCUUGUUGGACGGAUGCUCUUGCGGCGGCUGUCACUAUCGGAAAGGGAUCGGCGCUGUUCGCCAGUAUAUACGUUAACUCAAC